CUACGGGCUGCUCCAGUGGGGAAUAUUGGGCAAUGGGCGCAAGCCUGACCCAGCAACGCCGCGUGAGGGAAGAAGGUUUUCGGAUUGUAAACCUCUGUCCUUGGGGACGAAGAAGUGACGGUACCCAAGGAGGAAGCUCCGGCUAACUACGUGCCAGCAGCCGCGGUAAUACGUAGGGAGCAAGCGUUGUCCGGAAUUACUGGGCGUAAAGGGUGCGUAGGCGGCAUAUUAAGUCAGGUGUGAAAUACUCGGGCUCAACCCGGGGGCUGCAUUUGAAACUGAUAUGCUUGAGUGUGAGAGCGGAAAGUGGAAUUCCUAGUGUAGCGGUGGAAUGCGUAGAUAUUAGGAGGAACACCAGUGGCGAAGGCGACUUUCUGGCUCAUAACUGACGCUGAGGCACGAAAGCGUGGGGAGCAAACAGGAUCAGAUACCCUUGUAGUC
RNAcentral lists this ribosomal RNA (441 nucleotides) under uncultured bacterium. Its description in RNAcentral is "partial 16S ribosomal RNA". It matches the Rfam family "Bacterial small subunit ribosomal RNA", at positions 339 to 795 of the family's 1533-position model. The record is from RNAcentral.